GGGCCUGUAGCUCAUCUGGAUAGAGCGCCUGGCUACGAACUAGGAGGUAGAGGGUUCAAAUCCUUCCAGGCCCGCCA
Molecule: transfer RNA, 77 nt
Filed under: Gammaproteobacteria bacterium
Lineage: Bacteria; Pseudomonadati; Pseudomonadota; Gammaproteobacteria
Also listed under: 1 other name
Description: tRNA-Arg
Rfam family: tRNA
About the family: Transfer RNA (tRNA) molecules are approximately 80 nucleotides in length. Their secondary structure includes four short double-helical elements and three loops (D, anti-codon, and T loops).
Source: RNAcentral